GACGAACGCUGGCGGCGUGCCUAAUACAUGCAAGUAGAACGCACAGUUUAUACCGUAGCUUGCUACACCAUAAACUGUGAGUUGCGAACGGGUGAGUAACGCGUAGGUAACCUGCCUGGUAGCGGGGGAUAACUAUUGGAAACGAUAGCUAAUGCCGCAUAAUAUUGAUUAUUGCAUGAUAAUUGAUUGAAAGAUGCUAUUGCAUCACUACCAGAUGGACCUGCGUUGUAUUAGCUAGUAGGUGAGGUAACGGCUCACCUAGGCGACGAUACAUAGCCGACCUGAGAGGGUGAUCGGCCACACUGGGACUGAGACACGGCCCAGACUCCUACGGGAGGCAGCAGUAGGGAAUCUUCGGCAAUGGACGAAAGUCUGACCGAGCAACGCCGCGUGAGUGAAGAAGGUUUUCGGAUCGUAAAGCUCUGUUGUAAGAGAAGAACGGGUGUGAGAGUGGAAAGUUCACACUGUGACGGUAUCUUACCAGAAAGGGACGGCUAACUACGU
Molecule: ribosomal RNA, 504 nt
Filed under: uncultured bacterium
Lineage: Bacteria
Description: partial 16S ribosomal RNA
Rfam family: Bacterial small subunit ribosomal RNA
Source: RNAcentral